GCAGGCGGUGGCCGACAUGGCCGUGGCGCUGGCAGCGCUGCGCGCGAUGCCGGAAUGCACCGGUCGCAUCGGCGCCCUCGGCU
This 83-nucleotide transfer RNA is filed under the name Sphaerotilus natans. Its description in RNAcentral is "tRNA-Ala". Lineage: Bacteria; Pseudomonadati; Pseudomonadota; Betaproteobacteria; Burkholderiales; Sphaerotilaceae. The record is from RNAcentral.